GGGGCUGUAGCUCAGUGGUAGAGCACUUGCUUAGCAUGUGUGAGGCCCUGGGUUCAAUCCUCAGCACCA
Molecule: transfer RNA, 69 nt
Filed under: Ictidomys tridecemlineatus (thirteen-lined ground squirrel)
Lineage: Eukaryota; Metazoa; Chordata; Mammalia; Rodentia; Sciuridae
Description: Spermophilus tridecemlineatus (thirteen-lined ground squirrel) tRNA
Rfam family: tRNA
About the family: Transfer RNA (tRNA) molecules are approximately 80 nucleotides in length. Their secondary structure includes four short double-helical elements and three loops (D, anti-codon, and T loops). Further hydrogen bonds mediate the characteristic L-shaped molecular structure. tRNAs have two regions of fundamental functional importance: the anti-codon, which is responsible for specific mRNA codon recognition, and the 3' end, to which the tRNAs corresponding amino acid is attached (by aminoacyl-tRNA synthetases). tRNAs cope with the degeneracy of the genetic code in two manners: having more than one tRNA (with a specific anti-codon) for a particular amino acid; and 'wobble' base-pairing, i.e. permitting non-standard base-pairing at the 3rd anti-codon position.
Source: Rfam by way of RNAcentral